Molecule: ribosomal RNA, 510 nt
Filed under: uncultured bacterium
Lineage: Bacteria
Description: bacterial SSU rRNA
Rfam family: Bacterial small subunit ribosomal RNA
Source: RNAcentral
AGAGUUUGAUCAUGGCUCAGAGUGAACGCUGGCGGCAGGCCUAAUACAUGCAAGUCGAACGGCAGCACAGCAGAGCUUGCUCUGUGGGUGGCGAGUGGCGGACGGGUGAGGAAUACGUGGGAAUCUGCCCAGUCGUGGGGGAUAACGUAGGGAAACUUACGCUAAUACCGCAUGCGCCCUUCGGGGGAAAGCCGGGGACCUUCGGGCCUGGCGCGAUUGGAUGAGCCCACGUCGGAUUAGCUAGUUGGCGGGGUAAAGGCCCACCAAGGCGACGAUCCGUAGCUGGUCUGAGAGGAUGAUCAGCCACACUGGAACAGAGACACGGUCCAGACUCCUACGGGAGGCAGCAGUAGGGAAUAUUGGACAAUGGGCGCAAGCCUGAUCCAGCCAUGCCGCGUGAGUGAAGAAGGCCCUCGGGUUGUAAAGCUCUUUUGUCCGGAAAGAAAAGCGCCGGGUUAAUACCCUGGUGUCCUGACGGUACCGGAAGAAUAAGCACCGGCUAACUUCGUG